This 429-nucleotide ribosomal RNA is filed under the name Chloroflexota bacterium. RNAcentral's name for it is "Chloroflexi bacterium partial 16S ribosomal RNA". It matches the Rfam family "Bacterial small subunit ribosomal RNA", at positions 355 to 776 of the family's 1533-position model. The record is from RNAcentral. Lineage: Bacteria; Bacillati; Chloroflexota.
UGGGGAAUAUUGCACAAUGGGCGCAAGCCUGAUGCAGCCAUGCCGCGUGUAUGAAGAAGGCCUUCGGGUUGUAAAGUACUUUCAGCGGGGAGGAAGGGAGUAAAGUUAAUACCUUUACUCAUUGACGUUACCCGCAGAAGAAGCACCGGCUAACUCCGUGCCAGCAGCCGCGGUAAUACGGAGGGUGCAAGCGUUAAUCGGAAUUACUGGGCGUAAAGCGCACGCAGGCGGUUUGUUAAGUCAGAUGUGAAAUCCCCGGGCUCAACCUGGGAACUGCAUCUGAUACUGGCAAGCGUGAGUCUCGUAGAGGGGGGUAGAAUUCCAGGUGUAGCGGUGAAAUGCGUAGAGAUCUGGAGGAAUACCGGUGGCGAAGGCGGCCCCCUGGACGAAGACUGACGCUCAGGUGCGAAAGCGUGGGGAGCAAACAGG